GUUAGGAAUAUUGGACAAUGGGCGCAAGCCUGAUCCAGCCAUGCCGCGUGAGUGAUGAAGGCCUUCGGGUUGUAAAGCUCUUUAGUCCACGAAUAUAAUGACUGUAGUGGAAGAAUAAGCCCCGGCUAACUUCGUGCCAGCAGCCGCGGUAAUACGAAGGGGGCGAGCGUUAUUCGGAAUCACUGGGCGUAAAGCGUGCGUAGGCUGUUUUGUAAGUCAGAAGUGAAAGCCCAGGGCUUAACCCUGGAAUUGCUUUUGAAACUACAAGACUCGAAUUCGGGAGAGGAUAGCGGAAUUGUCAGUGUAGCAGUGAAAUGCGUAGAUAUUGACAGGAACACCAGUGGCGCAAGCGGCUAUCUGGACCGAUAUUGACGCUGAGGCACGAAAGCGUGGGGAGCAAACAGGAUUAGAUACCCGUGUAGUCC
This 425-nucleotide ribosomal RNA is filed under the name uncultured bacterium. Its description in RNAcentral is "bacterial SSU rRNA". It matches the Rfam family "Bacterial small subunit ribosomal RNA", at positions 354 to 796 of the family's 1533-position model. The record is from RNAcentral.